RNAcentral lists this long non-coding RNA (300 nucleotides) under Octopus vulgaris (common octopus). Lineage: Eukaryota; Metazoa; Mollusca; Cephalopoda; Octopoda; Octopodidae. The record is from RNAcentral.
CCUCCAUCUUCCCUUUUGCUCCACAAUUUUUCUCUUUUCUUUCUUCAUCAACAGAUUGGAGCAUCCUGUAUGUGGUCAUUGUAUGCUUCCUAAUAGUCGUCGGCCUCGCUGGCUUUGUCUGGUUGACUUGCUGUAUAUGGAAAAGACGUCUAUGGCGGUGGAGAACCAGAAAACGGCCCAAAUAUUCUUUACUUUCACAAAAUGAUAAUGUCAAAGAAAAUUUUAAAAUGUUAACUAAAAGUAGGCAAAGUUUUUUCUUUUCUUUCUUUUCUUUGAAGAAACUAAAAUAAUUUCUCUUUU